CGCGAGAUGGCCGUGCGGUCUAAGGCGCUGGUUUAAGGCAGCAGUCUCUUCGGAGGCGUGGGUUCGAAUCCCACUCUCGUCA
This 82-nucleotide transfer RNA is filed under the name Toxocara canis (dog roundworm). It matches the Rfam family "tRNA". Rfam says of the family: Transfer RNA (tRNA) molecules are approximately 80 nucleotides in length. Lineage: Eukaryota; Metazoa; Nematoda; Chromadorea; Rhabditida; Toxocaridae. The record is from Rfam by way of RNAcentral.